GUACGUGACCCGACUUCAAACUUGGAAGCUGGCUGCUGACUGUAUCAGAGUGCUGACUACCUGAGGAGACGGAGUCUACGAAGCCACUGUGGGAUGCAGUCUGACAGAGUAUCAUUGCAGCAGCAUCAAAGCUGUUGCAGAGGACUGGAGGUUGCCUGUGACAGACCUGUUACAUAACUCACAUAAUGCGAGGAUUCUGCUAGACACUCAGGCCUGGGGCAGAUCCACGUCAACCCUCAAUUAGUUCCAUAAACACAAAGCAUUAGAAUACAGACUACGUUGAGUGGACCAGGAAAGCUUUAGUCUCUAAACACAUUAAUAAAUAAAUAAUUUGUGUUUGCCUGCUUCCUCAUUUCUCUGUUUCACAUUCACUGGAAAAUAAAGUUCAUAGCAGAUCCAUGAUGUAUUAUCAGAAACUACACACACUACACAAAUAAAUUGUAAUUGCUACAUUA
Molecule: long non-coding RNA, 455 nt
Organism: Micropterus salmoides (largemouth bass)
Lineage: Eukaryota; Metazoa; Chordata; Actinopteri; Centrarchiformes; Centrarchidae
Exons: 2
Source: RefSeq, a predicted model, not a curated record